Cygnus atratus (black swan) is the source of this 644-nucleotide long non-coding RNA. RefSeq lists it as uncharacterized. The record is from RefSeq and is a predicted model, not a curated record. Lineage: Eukaryota; Metazoa; Chordata; Aves; Anseriformes; Anatidae. The transcript is spliced from 3 exons.
UCGCUUUUCCUCUGAUUAGGGAUCUGGGGGAGCCCCCAGCCCCUCACGUCUCUGAUCCCAAAGCUGGGAGCGCCUUCAUGUGCCCUGGGCUGCGGGGGAGUUCAGGCCGAGCCCGGAUCCCCACCAAAACCACCACACAUCCAGUGGAAAAAUGACCAUUCGUUGCUAAGGAUAAAGUACUUAAUCUCCCAGAUAUGCUACCCAUUCGUGCCGACUGUUCAUUUAAAUUCAUCACGACACAAGAAAGCGUACUGCAACAGGGGCCAUGAAUUUUGAUUGGGACCCUUCUGUACAACAAACAGAGACAAGAAGAACUGAAAGUGCAAUGGAAGAAUCUGGAGUCAGACGAACUACAGUUAUGAUGGAGGGACACGCAGAGGGUUCUUGUUCACGGCCACUUACUCAGACAGUGAUGGAGCUGGGAACUGGAUCCAUAUGUCUUGGCUGUCAGUCUCGCAUUCACUUGGCCAUCUAUCACUGGUCUCCCUUUGUCAUAGUUUAUUUCCCUAACAUAUGCUUCUCAUGAUGUUAUUCUUCAGCACUGAGAGACUUCUCUAACAUCAAGACAAAAACCAUCUGUAGUUGUGCAAUUAAAGCCUUAAUCAGACCUUUGGACAUCUUUCCUGGCUUUGGCUAGUUUUAAA